Molecule: long non-coding RNA, 749 nt
Organism: Leucoraja erinaceus (little skate)
Lineage: Eukaryota; Metazoa; Chordata; Chondrichthyes; Rajiformes; Rajidae
Exons: 2
Source: RefSeq, a predicted model, not a curated record
CCCCAUUGUUUCGACUUUAUUUUAAACAAACUAUAUUAAUAGAUGCCCGAUUUUCUCUGUGCUGGUCUCCUUGCGAUGCAAAUCGCCGUCAGUUCUGGCGUAUCUGCGGGCACGGAUUAGAAAGUAUAUGUGUAGUCCGCGGCGCCCCACCGACGGUAUCGGGGAAAGGACAAAGUAGCGUUACCUGGAAACCGGGAGCGCGAUCACAUUUCAUUCCGCCUUUCAAAUUGUCCAUCGAUUGAGAGGUAAACAGUGCAUCAAAAUCGUUCCUUACAUGUGUAUUGUUCCAGUACGAUUCAGCUUGAUUCUGUUUUUCCACAUUGCCCGUGAAUUGAGAGGAAAACGGAAAGUUAAGUGGAUCGAAAUUGUUCCUUUAAUUUGUUUAAGAAGGAACUGUAGAUGCUGGAAAAUCGAAGGUACACAAAAAUGCUGGAGAAACUCAGCGGGUGCAGCAGCAUCUAUGGAGCGAAGGAAAUAGGCAACGUUUCGGGCCGAAACCCUUCUUCAGUUCCUUUAAUUUGUUCGUUCCAACUUCAGGAGCUUCAGAAUCAGUUUGAUUCUGUUUUUCCAAAUUGUUCGUGAAUCGAGAGCGCUGCGGCCUAACAUCGUGGAGUUGGUGGCCUUUUGCUGGAGAUCGAUUUUGGGAGCUCCAACCGCGGGAGCGGAAUGACUUUAACAUUCGUGGAGCCCGCGUUCUAUGGUUGGGGACCGACUUUGGGAGAUCCAGGACACAGGAGCUUCGAUCGCCG